ACUAGGUGCGGUGGCAUGUGCCUGUAGUCGCAGCUACUCAGGAGGCUGAGUUGGGAGGAUUGCUUGAGCCCAGGAGUUCUGGGCUGUACUGUGCUAUGCUGAUCGGGCGUCCACAGUAAGUUCGGCAUCCAUCUGGUGACCUCCUGGGAGUGGGGGACCACUAGGUUGCCUAAGGAGGGGUGAACCAGCCCAGAUCAGAAACAGAGGAGGUCAAAACUCCCAUGCUGAUCAGUAAUGGGAUCAUGCCUGUGAAUAGCCACUGCAUUCCAACCUGGGCAACAUAGUGAGACCCCAUCUCAG
Callithrix jacchus (white-tufted-ear marmoset) is the source of this 300-nucleotide unclassified non-coding RNA. It matches the Rfam family "Metazoan signal recognition particle RNA". Rfam says of the family: The signal recognition particle (SRP) is a universally conserved ribonucleoprotein. It is involved in the co-translational targeting of proteins to membranes. Lineage: Eukaryota; Metazoa; Chordata; Mammalia; Primates; Cebidae. The record is from Ensembl.